GCACAAGCGGUGGAGCAUGUGGUUUAAUUCGAAGCAACGCGAAGAACCUUACCAAAUCUUGACAUCCUUUGACAACUCUAGAGAUAGAGCUUCCCUUCGGGGACAAAGUGACAGGUGGUGCAUGGUUGUCGUCAGCUCGUGUCGUGAGAUGUUGGGUUAAGUCCCGCAACGAGCGCAACCCUUAUCUUUAGUUGCCAUCAUUAGGUUGGGCACUCUAGAGAGACUGCCGGUGACAAACCGGAGGAAGGUGGGAUGACGUCAAAUCAUCAUGCCCCUUAUGAUUUGGGCUACACACGUGCUACAAUGGAUGGUACAAAGGGCAGCAAAACCGCGAGGUCAAGCAAAUCCCAUAAAACCAUUCUCAGUUCGGAUUGUAGUCUGCAACUCGACUACAUGAAGCUGGAAUCGCUAGUAAUCGUAGAUCAGCAUGCUACGGUGAAUACGUUCCCGGGUCUU
Molecule: ribosomal RNA, 456 nt
Filed under: uncultured Macrococcus sp.
Lineage: Bacteria; Bacillati; Bacillota; Bacilli; Caryophanales; Staphylococcaceae
Description: bacterial SSU rRNA
Rfam family: Bacterial small subunit ribosomal RNA
Source: RNAcentral